GGUAGGCAGUUAGCUCAUUACGGGAUAGAUCUUUAAAUCCUGAGGAAAGUCCAGCCACCAUUAAAUGUCGCUCUUAGGAGUUCCAGAAAUGGAAAGUAGCAUUCAGAAACGACACGUCCUUGAAAUAGUAUGAUAAUGGCGAAGUUUCCUGCGAGGGGAAUGAGCAAACCCUUUGACAUUUUUCAAGGGAUCGAUGGAACGAAAUGCCUCGACUGGUGCAAGUCAAAAUGAUGCUUAGUUGAAUUAUGAGCACUUCCAUAUGGAAGUACAGAAGCUGGCUUAUUGCUGUCUACC
RNAcentral lists this RNase P RNA (294 nucleotides) under archaeon. Its description in RNAcentral is "RNase P RNA component". It matches the Rfam family "Archaeal RNase P". Rfam says of the family: Ribonuclease P (RNase P) is a ubiquitous endoribonuclease, found in archaea, bacteria and eukarya as well as chloroplasts and mitochondria. Its best characterised activity is the generation of mature 5'-ends of tRNAs by cleaving the 5'-leader elements of precursor-tRNAs. The record is from RNAcentral.